GUUGUGGAGCCAUCCUUGAAAUACCACCCUGGUCAUGUUGGGGUUCUAACUCAGGUAUAACAAUACCGAGGACAAUGUAUGGUGGGUAGUUUGACUGGGGCGGUCUCCUCCUAAAGAGUAACGGAGGAGUACGAAGGUGCGCUCAGAACGGUCGGAAAUCGUUCGAAGAGUAUAAAGGCAAAAGCGCGCUUAACUGCGAGACCCACAAGUCGAGCAGAUACGAAAGUAGGUCUUAGUGAUCCGGUGGUUCUGUAUGGAAGGGCCAGCGCUCAACGGAUAAAAGGUACUCCGGGGAUAACAGGCUGAUACCGCCC
This 314-nucleotide ribosomal RNA is filed under the name Asterionellopsis glacialis. RNAcentral describes it as "partial Bacterial large subunit ribosomal RNA". It matches the Rfam family "Bacterial large subunit ribosomal RNA", at positions 2177 to 2493 of the family's 2925-position model. The record is from RNAcentral. Lineage: Eukaryota; Bacillariophyta; Plagiogrammaphyceae; Rhaphoneidales; Asterionellopsidaceae.